Monopterus albus (swamp eel) is the source of this 70-nucleotide non-coding RNA. The record is from Ensembl. NCBI's taxonomy places the organism in Eukaryota, Metazoa, Chordata, Actinopteri, Synbranchiformes, Synbranchidae.
AGAGCCGUGCCUGAAUUAAAGGACCACUUUGAUAGAGUGGAUUAUGAAGGUUAAACUCCAUCCGACUCUU